Molecule: long non-coding RNA, 936 nt
Organism: Triticum aestivum (bread wheat)
Lineage: Eukaryota; Viridiplantae; Streptophyta; Magnoliopsida; Poales; Poaceae
Exons: 2
Source: RefSeq, a predicted model, not a curated record
UUCAGAUAAACAUCAAGAACAGGAAGGAAGUUGAGGAACUUUGCUUAGGGUUUGUAGCACUCAAAGAGGAACAGGUUGAGCCAGCCGGGUCACGGCGGCUGGGGUUUAAUCCUAUUACAACUCUAGAUGCCUCUACCGAUCUCCAAAUCCUGGCUUUAUAGCAAUUACAAAACAGAAAGUGAACUGAAAGGUGAAGUUGUUGGACGAUCAACAGCGAUCCUUGACGCGACGGCUGCUGUCCGAUGAAAGAUCAACAUCUCUCAGCAGCUGCCUCUGGCGCGAAUCGAUAAGUGGAGGCCAGCAUCGUUGGAUGUGAUUCAGACGGUGGAGUUUGAAUCAACAGCUGAAGCGAUAACCUGCAGUUAACUGAAGAUGGUUGUUGUCGAUCUUCAGAUAAGGGGCCUGACAGAUAACGCACGAUGUUUUCACUAGGGACGAGUCUGGGAUGUGUAUGCUUCAUGCAAUCAGGCAGUAAGAUGGGGAUAAGAUGAUGUGGUCAUUGACGAAAGCUUCAUAGUCUGUUUAACUUUCUUACUUCUUUCAUAAAAUUGUUGGAUGAGAAUUUCAGCAGCCAGAGCUUGGAUGCUAUUUUGGCUCUGAAAUCUGCAGAAAAACUUGGCCACUUCUCAGCAAAUAGCUGUUUUUGAGGUAUUUCGUUUGCAUGAUGAGCACGGAAAUUGUGGCUGACAAUGCGUUACGGGCUGCUCUAGAAGACAAUGAGGAAUGAGUGUUAUCGUCAAUGCUUAUGUAGUGUGCAAUUUGUUCAUCACCUUGUGAGGGUUUGGACGGUAUGUUUAGUGAUCUAAACGCUCUUAUAUUUCUUUAUGGAGGGAGUACUUUUUAUUAGGAUGGAACUAGCAAGUACGUGGAUCUUCUAAAUGAUUUGUUAGCUAUAUUGUGUAUGAAGAGUAAUGCACUCAAAUGCUGAUCGACGAA